AGGACGAACGCUGGCGGCGUGCUUAACACAUGCAAGUCGAACGAUGAAGCCUUUCGGGGUGGAUUAGUGGCGAACGGGUGAGUAACACGUGGGCAAUCUGCCCUGCACUCUGGGACAAGCCCUGGAAACGGGGUCUAAUACCGGAUAUUACCUGCCGAGGCCAUCUUGGUGGGUGUAAAGCUCCGGCGGUGCAGGAUGAGCCCGCGGCCUAUCAGCUUGUUGGUGGGUGAGUGGCCUACCAAGGCGACGAC
Molecule: ribosomal RNA, 251 nt
Filed under: uncultured bacterium
Lineage: Bacteria
Description: partial small subunit ribosomal RNA
Rfam family: Bacterial small subunit ribosomal RNA
Source: RNAcentral